Molecule: ribosomal RNA, 207 nt
Filed under: uncultured bacterium
Lineage: Bacteria
Description: partial 16S ribosomal RNA
Rfam family: Bacterial small subunit ribosomal RNA
Source: RNAcentral
CGCGUAGGCGGCCUCUUAAGUCAGAUGUGAAAUCCCGGGGCUUAACCCCGGAAGUGCAUUUGAAACUAUUAGGCUUGAGUAUGGGAGAGGGAAGUGGAAUUCCUGGUGUAGAGGUGAAAUUCGUAGAUAUCAGGAGGAACAUCGGUGGCGAAGGCGACUUCCUGGACCAAUACUGACGCUGAGGCGCGAAGGCGUGGGGAGCAAACA